UUCUGGUUGAUCCUGGCGGAGGCUACUGCUAUUGGGAUUCUAUUACGCCAUGCGAGUUGAAUGAAUUUAGAUUCAUGGCGUACGGCUCAGUAACACGUGGAUAACUUACCCUUAGGACUGGGAUAACUCUGGGAAACUGGGGAUAAUACCGGAUAUUAGGCUAUGGCUGGAAUGCUUUGCCUUUGAAAUGUUUCUUGUAUUCGCCUAAGGAUAGAUCUGCGGCUGAUUAGGUCGUUGGUGGGGUAAUGGCCCACCAAGCCUAUGAUCGGUACGGGUUGUGAGAGCAAGAGCCCGGAGAUGGAACCUGAGACAAGGUUCCAGACCCUACGGGGUGCAGCAGGCGCGAAACCUCCGCAAUGUACGAAAGUGCGACGGGGGGAUCCCAAGUGUUAUUCUUAAUAGGAUAACUUUUCAUUAGUGUAAAAAGCUUUUAGAAUAAGAGCUGGGCAAGACCGGUGCCAGCCGCCGCGGUAACACCGGCAGCUCAA
This 488-nucleotide ribosomal RNA is filed under the name uncultured rumen archaeon. RNAcentral describes it as "bacterial SSU rRNA". It matches the Rfam family "Archaeal small subunit ribosomal RNA", at positions 1 to 487 of the family's 1478-position model. The record is from RNAcentral.